This 497-nucleotide ribosomal RNA is filed under the name uncultured bacterium. RNAcentral's name for it is "partial 16S ribosomal RNA". It matches the Rfam family "Bacterial small subunit ribosomal RNA", at positions 28 to 507 of the family's 1533-position model. The record is from RNAcentral.
GAUGAACGCUGGCGGCGUGCCUAAUACAUGCAAGUCGAGCGAACAGACGAGGAGCUUGCUCCUCUGACGUUAGCGGCGGACGGGUGAGUAACACGUGGAUAACCUACCUAUAAGACUGGGAUAACUUCGGGAAACCGGAGCUAAUACCGGAUAAUAUAUUGAACCGCAUGGUUCAAUAGUGAAAGACGGUUUUGCUGUCACUUAUAGAUGGAUCCGCGCCGCAUUAGCUAGUUGGUAAGGUAACGGCUUACCAAGGCAACGAUGCGUAGCCGACCUGAGAGGGUGAUAGGCCACACUGGAGCGGAGACACGGUCCAGACUCCUACGGGAGGCAGCAGUAGGGAAUGUGCCGCAAAGGGCGAAAGCCUGACGGAGCAACGCCGCGCGAGUGACGAAGGUCUUCGGAUCGUAAAACUCUGUUAUUAGGGAAGAACAAAUGUGUAAGUAACUAUGCACGUCUUGACGGUACCUAAUAAGAAAGCCACGGCUAACUACGUG